CAGAAGGGAGCUUGCUCCCGGAUGUUAGCGGCGGACGGGUGAGUAACACGUGGGUAACCUGCCUGUAAGACUGGGAUAACUCCGGGAAACCGGAGCUAAUACCGGAUAGUUCCUUGAACCGCAUGGUUCAAGGAUGAAAGACGGUUUCGGCUGUCACUUACAGAUGGACCCGCGGCGCAUUAGCUAGUUGGUGGGGUAAUGGCUCACCAAGGCGACGAUGCGUAGCCGACCUGAGAGGGUGAUCGGCCACACUGGGACUGAGACACGGCCCAGACUCCUACGGGAGGCAGCAGUAGGGAAUCUUCCGCAAUGGACGAAAGUCUGACGGAGCAACGCCGCGUGAGUGAUGAAGGUUUUCGGAUCGUAAAGCUCUGUUGUUAGGGAAGAACAAGUGCGAGAGUAACUGCUCGCACCUUGACGGUACCUAACCAGAAAGCCACGGCUAACUACGUGCCAGCAGCCGCGGUAAUACGUAGGUGGCAAGCGUUGUCCGGAAUUAUUGGGCGUAAAGGGCUCGCAGGCGGUUUCUUAAGUCUGAUGUGAAAGCCCCCGGCUCAACCGGGGAGGGUCAUUGGAAACUGGGAAACUUGAGUGCAGAAGAGGAGAGUGGAAUUCCACGUGUAGCGGUGAAAUGCGUAGAGAUGUGGAGGAACACCAGUGGCGAAGGCGACUCUCUGGUCUGUAACUGACGCUGAGGAGCGAAAGCGUGGGGAGCGAAC
This 719-nucleotide ribosomal RNA is filed under the name Bacillus safensis. RNAcentral's name for it is "bacterial SSU rRNA". It matches the Rfam family "Bacterial small subunit ribosomal RNA", at positions 69 to 773 of the family's 1533-position model. The record is from RNAcentral. Lineage: Bacteria; Bacillati; Bacillota; Bacilli; Caryophanales; Bacillaceae.